AUUGAACGCUGGCGGCAGGCCUAACACACGCAAGUCGAACGGUAACAGGAAGCAGCUUGCUGCUUCGCUGACGAGUGGCGGACGGGUGAGUAAUGUCUGGGAAACUGCCUGAUGGAGGGGGAUAACUACUGGAAACGGUAGCUAAUACCGCAUAACGUCGCAAGACCAAAGAGGGGGACCUUAGGGCCUCUUGCCAUCGGAUGUGCCCGGAUGGGAUUAGCUAGUAGGUGGGGUAACGGCUCACCUAGGCGACGAUCCCUAGCUGGUCUGAGAGGAUGACCAGCCACACUGGAACUGAGACACGGUCCAGACUCCUACGGGAGGCAGCAGUGGGGAAUAUUGCACAAUGGGCGCAAGCCUGAUGCAGCCAUGCCGCGUGUAUGAAGAAGGCCUUCGGGUUGUAAAGUACUUUCAGCGGGGAGGAAGGGAGUAAAGUUAAUACCUUUGCUCAUUGACGUUACCCGCAGAAGAAGCGCCGGCUAACUCCGUG
RNAcentral lists this ribosomal RNA (490 nucleotides) under uncultured bacterium. Its description in RNAcentral is "partial 16S ribosomal RNA". It matches the Rfam family "Bacterial small subunit ribosomal RNA", at positions 30 to 507 of the family's 1533-position model. The record is from RNAcentral.